CAACCCAAAUCGCGGCAUCUACCCUAACUCAAGUCUCUAACCGGCUAACCCUAGAGAGGAGAGAGACAGACAGACGCAAACGCGAGCCGGCGGCGGAGCGGCGGCUGUGGUGCAUCCAGAUCGCGGCAUCGCGCGCCCCCGCGCCCACCGCCCGCGCCACCGCUCGCCACCUGGUCCGCCGUCCUAUCCUCGCCCCCACCAUCUCGCGCCGCCCUCGCUCUUCGCCGUUUCGCCGCUGGCCGCCGCCACCAUCUCGCACCUCCGCCGGCCUGCUCGGUCCCCGUUAUCUCACGACGCCGUCCCGCCACGUCUCGCCGUUUCACCGCCGCCACCACCACCGACGACGACGCGACAGCCACCACCACCGAUGACACCUCAAGCCCCACUGGCGACUCUUCCUCACCGCCACCAACGCCGACGACUCCUCGCCUCGCAGUAGCCAGCAGCCCAGCGGCAGCAACUGAGCAACCAGCAGAUUUGUGAUGGAAUCAUCAAAUGCAAGUAGCAGCAGUGCAAGUGUAUGCAAUGCGGGCAUUGUAGCUUUGCCAGCAUCACAACCAACCCUUGCAAAUGUAGGAGAUCCUACCACAAAUGUGGGUGCAGUGGCAAGAGUAGAAGUUGCUGUUCUGUGAUGAUUGAUGAACUAAGUAUUGAUGGACUGAUGUUCUGUUGUUGUUCUCAAACCCAUUUCCUGGAGAGAUAGGCUGAUAGCAGUAUAGCACCUGAAUUGUGUAUACCUUAUACCAUUGUGUUUUGCUGUAUUCUUUUAGAAUAUUUGUUAUGCAAAUUAUAUGAAGUUAUAGAAGAAUAUAUUUUGCUGUUGAUACUAAACAAUUAGUCUUGAUAUAAUUGUGUUUUAUGAUGAA
Long non-coding RNA from Oryza sativa Japonica Group (Japanese rice), 866 nucleotides. RefSeq lists it as uncharacterized. Lineage: Eukaryota; Viridiplantae; Streptophyta; Magnoliopsida; Poales; Poaceae. The record is from RefSeq and is a predicted model, not a curated record.